UGAGGGGGGCUGCUCCUAGUACGAGAGGACCGGAGUGGACGCAUCACUGGUGUUCGGGUUGUCAUGCCAAUGGCACUGCCCGGUAGCUAAAUGCGGAAGAGAUAAGUGCUGAAAGCAUCUAAGCACGAAACUUGCCCCGAGAUGAGUUCUCCCUGAGACUUAGAGUCUCCUGAAGGAACGUUGAAGACGACGACGUUGAUAGGCCGGGUGUGUAAGCGCAGCGAUGCGUUGAGCUAACCGGUACUAAUGAACCGUGAGGCUUAACCUUAC
This 270-nucleotide ribosomal RNA is filed under the name Salmonella enterica subsp. enterica serovar Agona str. 246555-3. RNAcentral's name for it is "partial 23S ribosomal RNA". It matches the Rfam family "Bacterial large subunit ribosomal RNA", at positions 2663 to 2925 of the family's 2925-position model. The record is from RNAcentral. RNAcentral also lists the same sequence under 1 other name. Lineage: Bacteria; Pseudomonadati; Pseudomonadota; Gammaproteobacteria; Enterobacterales; Enterobacteriaceae.